RNAcentral lists this ribosomal RNA (850 nucleotides) under uncultured Alphaproteobacteria bacterium. RNAcentral describes it as "bacterial SSU rRNA". It matches the Rfam family "Bacterial small subunit ribosomal RNA", at positions 34 to 932 of the family's 1533-position model. The record is from RNAcentral. Lineage: Bacteria; Pseudomonadati; Pseudomonadota; Alphaproteobacteria.
CGCUGGCGGCACGCCUAACACAUGCAAGUCGAACGCAGUAGCAAUACUGAGUGGCAAACGGGUGAGUAUAAUGUGGGAAUCUGCCUUUUGGUUUGGAAUAACACGGGGAAACUUGUGCUAAUACCGAAUAAGCCUUUACAGGGAAAGUUUUAACGCCGAAAGAUGAGCCCGCACUUGAUUAGCUAGUUGGUAAGGUAAAAGCUUACCAAGGCAAUGAUCAAUAGCUGUUCUUAGAGGAAGACCAGCCACAUUGGGACUGAGACACGGCCCAGACUCCUACGGGAGGCAGCAGUGGGGAAUCUUGCACAAUGGGGGAAACCCUGAUGCAGCGAUGCCGCGUGAGUGAAGAAGGCCUUUGGGUUGUAAAACUCUUUCGUCGGGGAAGAAAAUGACUGUACCCGAAUAAGAAGGUCCGGCUAACUUCGUGCCAGCAGCCGCGGUAAUACGAAGGGACCUAGCGUAGUUCGGAAUUACUGGGCUUAAAGAGCUCGUAGGUGGUUAAAAAAGUUGAUGGUGAAAUCCCAAGGCUCAACCUUGGAACUGCCAUCAAAACUUUUUAGCUAGAGUGUGAUAGAGGUAAGUGGAAUUUCUAGUGUAGAGGUGAAAUUCGUAGAUAUUAGAAAGAACACCAAAUGCGAAGGCAACUUACUGGGUCACUACUGACACUGAGGAGCGAAAGCAUGGGUAGCGAAGAGGAUUAGAUACCCUCGUAGUCCAUGCCGUAAACGAUGUGUGCUAGACGUUGGAAAUAUAUUUUUCAGUGUCGCAGAGAAAUCGUUAAGCACACCGCCUGGGGAGUACGACCGCAAGGUUAAAACUCAAAUGAAUUGACGGGGACCCGCACAAGUAG